RNAcentral lists this long non-coding RNA (729 nucleotides) under Homo sapiens (human). RNAcentral's name for it is "novel transcript, antisense to AGPAT6". Lineage: Eukaryota; Metazoa; Chordata; Mammalia; Primates; Hominidae. The record is from RNAcentral.
UCCUAUCAUGUCUGCAGAGCUCCAAGGCUGGGGGCGAUGUUGAGGCCGAAGCCAGCCACAGUGCCUCAGCUGUGCCUUUCCUGGAGAGCGGGUGGCCGCCCCCAGCACAUCCCUGGCACACGGGCUUGCAUAACAGACUCUUGUACCGCCAUCUCUAGCACAAGACCAUGGCCACAUCUCCCCAACCACUCAGCCCGCACAGCGUGCAAAGGUGGGGAGUUCACUUUAAUGGCAUUCCUCCAACGACUUAUUGUAAAAGAAACAAGGCAUCUCGUCCUGGGUCGCAACACCCAGCAGCAUCCGUUUAGACCACCAAGGGUAGGCUGCGCCGGGUGCACAGGGAUCCCGCUGCGGCUCGGCGAAAGCCGGAGUCCUGGGAUCCAGAGCAGCCCGGGGAGCCCUGGAGUCUGGAAAGGACACAGCAGUGGGGGCGGCGGCGGCAACUCCAGCUCUGAGCCCGUUGGCACCCCGCACGGUGGCCCCAGCCAGCUGGAGGCAGGCUCAGGAGCGGCUCCUGUCCUUGUGGUUCCCCACGAUCAUCUUGCUUUAUAAUUGGUUCUGCUCAGCAGGUUCCAGGACUCCAGUUCUUCUGCUGAGAAUCUCUUUGUCACCUCAUCAUCCAUAAUGGUCUCCAUUCCUUUCCGGCAAAAGUAGAAAAUGUCAGAGAGCUCGAACUCUGGAGUGUUGUCCAGAGCCUUACUACUACCACUUCGACGAAUCUCUUUGAUC